ACUUUAGCGACACGUGACACUCGAAAUCCCAUCCGGAAAAUCAUUGAGAUUACAUAUCGACAAGAAAUCUGGAGAGUUACUCACUUUAGCGACACAUGACACUUGAAAUCCUAUCCGAAAAAUUAUUGAGAUUACAUGUUGACAAGAAAUAUGGAGAGUUACCUCACUUUAGCGACACAUGUCACUUGAAUUUCUAUCCGAAAAAUUAUUGAGGUAGUUUAAUUUAAGUAACCAUAUUAAUUCAAUUAAAAUAAUAAAUUAUGUUUGGUGUAUGACACUUUGGCCCUCUCAGUUGGAGAUGUUUUUUGUCACAGGGAUAUGUUUAGCCUAUGGCCCUUUGGUCCUCUCGAUUGGAGAUGGUAAGAAAUAUGACCUGACACUGUUCAUUAAAAUAUUAAUUUCUUAAAGGGCUAUAGGGCUAAAGGGAGCCCUUUGACCCUCAUUCGGUUGGAGAUGACCUUAGCCUCCCAAUGUUUACAUUGCUCAAUAAUUUGCUUUGGUGCCUAUAUGUACUACUACCAGUAGUAGUAAGGUAAGUACAUUUACUCUUGCAUUCGAUAUUCCGAGUUUCUAAACUUUCAAUCUGCAAAACAAAUGUUCCCUUACAUAUGUAUAACAUAUUGUUAAUAGAAGGAUCUCCACCAAAAAGAAGUUGUACGGUUAAAGGAUGGAUAACUUUCCCUGUCUAGUCUAGUCUUCUAUUUUGUAUCCUUAAACUACCACUACAACAAAAUAUACCUUAAGACAGCAUCUCAUUAACAACAUACACUUAACCCACCUUGUUAAAUAUUAAUUAGAACAACAUGCACAUCUUAUAUGCAUCCUGUUGUAAAAUGUCAUUUUCUUUCAACAACAUCAUUGCAUGUUGUCUAUAGCUUUCGUGUACUAGAUUUUUAUUUUUGUGAUAUUUAUAUAUCUCCACAAUUGGACAGAGUUGUCUUCUUCUUUUUUUUGUUUUUGUUUUUUUUUGUCUAGAUGGAGCCGGAUACCGGAAUAGUUCUGGAACUCCCUCACAAAUGAAACACAUCAGAGGUAUGUACACUACUGAAAGUCCAAGAGAGAUGACACUUAUCAAGUGCCGUCAUGAAAAUAAAAUAUGAUCGAGAAAUUUCUGAUUGAGUUAACAUCAAAGUAUUAAUUACCCCACGCCUAUGUAGUCUAAUAUGAUAAUCUUAAUAAAUAUAUUGUCUUGCUUGUGAGUAAGCAAUAUCAUAAUCAACCUCUCAUUAUCUCGGCCUCAAUAAUCAAUCCAAAGGGAUGCUGCAAAGUAGCAAAAAACUCAAAGACUCAAACAUCAAUUUCUAACUUCUUUUGGCGUCAUUUUUCAUCAUCAUAAUGUCAUAAAAAUGUGAAUUGUAAUAUUGUGUGGGAUAAUACUUGAUCAAAUAUAAUUAAUGAUCGGAACCAUUCAAUUUAUUUAAUAUUCAUAUGAAGAUCAAUUCUACAAAAAUUAUUGAAUUGUAGAUCAUUUUAUCAUCCAAAUGUAUCAAAUAAAUGAUUAGUUCAUUAUGAAUAUAUUAUUUGGUACCUACAUCGUCAAAUUUUUUUAUUCAUUUGAAUGACUAAAUAGUCUUCAACUAAAAUGAUUUUUCAGGGAUGAUUUUAAAAAAAAGAUUAAGAAUUUAAACUAUUACGAUUAUGAAAUUUGUACGGUCAAAAUAUUUAUUUCUAAAACAAAGGAAUAAUACGAGUAUUAUCCUUUUGUGUGUCACGGACGGACGUGGUUACGCAAGUGUGUGUAUAUAUAUAUAUAUUCGAAGUUAAAUUAGUCUAAUUUUUCGAUAUUCCUAAGUCUCCUUUGGUGACUUCAAAAUCGUAGCACCUUUGGUUCACUCAUUCUUUUCCAAGAAAAAUGUUCUUUUUCUUUUGUUAUCCUUCCCCCUUUUAGCCAAAUGUAGUAUUUCGACACAAGAGUAUAUUUUUCUUGAAUAAAGGUAUAACUUGAGAACAUAUAACUUGAGAACAUAUACUGAAAAUCCAAGAAAAUUGUCUACCUAUGAAAGUAUAUGGAAACUUGAUAAAUAAAGGAAUUGAUCGAUAAGUUUAUGAAUAAACUAAGAUUAGAGAGUCAAUUUAAAACCUAAUUGAUAAUUUAAUUGAUAAUGACCCCACGUCUAACAGGAUUCUAUUACGAUAAUCUAAGUUAUUAAUGUUUCAUUGGCGAGUUAUCAACCCCAUUAUCUCAGACUCAACAAUGGAUCCAGGGCUGCUGGCUACCGCAAAAGAUGCAGACAUCAUUUAACUUCUUUCAGUGUCAUGUUUUCAUCAUCAUAAUGUCAUCAACAAGUAUUAUGUCCAAGCCAAUUUGAAUUGUAAUAUCUAGUGUAUGCAUGAUGCAUGGAUUAUGGAAAUGGCUACGUACCAAUAUAUAAUAUACACAUACAUCCUCAAACUUAAUUAUUUACUAGCUAGCUAGUCCAGGUUUUCUCAACUUACAGUAUCUUGUGGCGACUUCAAAUUUCAAGUUUUUUAACACCUAAUUGUUAUCACAGUGAAAAUUACCUUUUCUUUUCUUGUUUUUCUUCCUUCCCCUGAUGAGUGGAUAUUAAUUUAUAUUUUUACCAUAUUUUAGUUAUAAUUUAUUUGUUAUUUUAGUAAAAUUUUAACACUUUGCUUUUUUUUUUUUUUUUUUUGACAAAAACUUUGCUCUAUAUUUCAAUUGUAGGACAUGCGAAUCUACUUUGGGCAUAACGCAAUGAAACGGAGGAAUUUUGGAGUAAAACCACUUGCAGUAGAUUCAUGAGUCCUUGAAGAUGACUGUAUCAAAAUUCCGGAUUUUAUUUUCAAGCCGUUUGAUCAUGGCGAAUAAAAUGCGCAGUUUUCCCAGAUUGAUGUUUUGGAAGAUUUUGGACGUUUUAUCAGUCAAGAAGGCAUUUUGAAAGGAUUGUUUCUUUUGAGAACUUGAGGAGGACAUGUUAAGAUUUAAAAAGAGACCCUUUAGGACCAAAUCUAAGAUGAUUCAGUCGGUCAAAAGAGAGAUUUUCUCCAAUUUAAUUAUUUUUAAGUAAUAAAUGAAAAUAAUUUACUUUGUACAUGAACAGUGGUUAAUGACAAAUCUACAUAUAAAUAAAUGUUUGGGGUGAGUGAUUGGCGCACCUUCUACAUCUCAAAAUGAAAUAGUUUGUUCUGAUGGUCACAUUUUUUGAGUCGGUGAUCACCGGUUAUGUGAUAGCUAGACUUUAUAAAUUAAAAAAGAAAAACUAUAUAUAUUGCUUUCAAAUUUAACAAUUUUUUUUAAUAAGAAUGUAGGAUAUUAAUUAAGAUGCCGAUAAAGUAUAUAAAAAGGGAUAAAACAUAAGAAAAGAAGUGAACAUCUGAAGUAAAAAAAAAAACCACGCCGGAACUUUCUAACCGGAAUCAAGGGAAAAAGAGACUGCCACUGAAGAAUAAAAGAUUUUAAAAUGUAAUCACUCAAUAGACAUCCUCAAUCAAAAUGUUUACUAACAUGUCUGGUGGUUCCUCAAACCAAGCCGCCUAAUGUUACUCUCCAAUUCCUGCUCUUGCAAGCCAAUGUACGUGCUGCCUGAUUUGCUUCUCUCCUAACAUGACCAAGCUUGGAUUGAGAGAAACCUCGAAAGAAUGAGCAAAUAUCAUUAAUUAUUGGCCCCAUAUUAGAUGUAUCAUCACUCUGCUUGUUGCAUAUAUAUAGCAACUAUGGCAAGGAUAGAAUCUCCUUCAAACUCCUCUACAAACAUGACAACCCUUUUAUACUAAUCAUAUUUGAUGAUUAAUUAAUUGAAAUUUACUAAUUUAAAACUUUGUCAAACUGUCACUUAGUACUAAGGACUAGUGAUAUUCCUCUUCACUUGUAAGCAUUGUUCUAAAAAUUCCUGCUUAGCGCUUGUUGAAAUAUCACACAUCGACUGCAUCUAUAAGAAAAGAAGAGUUUAAAUAUCCUAAACCUCACUCUAACUAACACCAAUGUCUUUUGUGAUAAAACCCUAUACCUGACGAAUUGUGUAGGUGAUAAUUAUCAAGUUGGGCACAAUAUUUGUGUUGGAAGUGGGUCUUUGGCCAGUUUAUUUGAUAAUUUUACAUGGUAUUAGAGUCAUAGAGUGGGACCAUACUGCUACGUGAUGGAUGCGUCCUUUUGGCCCCGCCCGAUGAUGGUGGGUCCCUUGGCUACGGGUGUAAAGUGAGUCCCCUUGACUCCACGUGGUUGUCAAUUUGUGGAUUUCCCAUGUGUGACCCACUAAUUGGGUCUCACAUGAGGGGUGUUAACUACAUAGCAAAAGAUGAAAGAUUGAUACAGUUUACAGAAGAAGAAGAUGAGAGAGAAAGAAACAAGAGAGAGAUGUAGAGGAAAAUGAAGGAGAAGGAUUGUCUGCCCUCCUCUUUCCAUACUCUCCCUAUGCCCUCCUGUUUUGUGCGGUCACGGUUAAGCCAUGUCAACAUUUUAUAUUAAUUUUUAUAUAAAAAUAAUAAGACAAAAAGCAAAUGUUGACGUGGCUUAACCGUGACCGCACAAAACAGGAGGGUAUGGGGAGGGUAUGGAGAAAGGAGGGCAGACAAUCCAUCUCCGAAAAUGAAAGCUCUUGAAUUGAUUAAUCUUUAUGAUACAACAUUUCUAGCUAUAUAUACAAACACACUUAACAACUUAACAAACUUCUAACAAAGCUAACAACUAAAUACGUCAAAUGAUGCCAUUUGUCCAUUGCCAUCCAACAUACUUAAUAGUGACACAUGUCAUUUUAUACCCCCCUCAAUCCCAACAGGAGAAACCCAUUUUGAGAUUAGAAGAACAUUUGCAAUCACUACUUAAAGCUAAACUCUGAAGAAAAACCCAAUCAUCUGUCUCUUGUUGAUCUUGAAGCUCAAAACAUUUGAGUGUAAAGUUUAUACCCAUCCAACAUACCAGAUAGUACAUGCCUUGCAAACUCGAUUACAUUAGAGUCAUUAAACCCUUCAGAAACCAAAUUUACAUCCUUGAGCUGAGAUAUAAAAUUUAGGUUUUGGAGUUGCCAAAACCCCUAUCAAAUCCAUGUUCUGGUAUUCCAAACAAAUAGAAUUCGUAAAUAUCCAAACCGUUGACCCUCAAAUUAAUGUCUCCACCUCUGUAGCUACUUGACCAAAAUCCUCUGUCUGUGGAAACAGUCCAAAUUUGUUCCAUUGCCUUACUGUAAAGCAAAACCUUUAAAACAUAAUGCAUGAACCAAUUCUUCAAGACUUGAAACAAUUAUGAUGCACAUAUCCAGAAAUCAUGACACCCUGUAUUUGUUUGCCUCUAACAGAAAGCUUGACACAGACUAACCUUCUAUAAAAAGUCGUAGCACACCUUCAUGCUGGUAUAAGAACUUCUUAUGAGAUUACCCUUUCAUGGGAUUUACCGUCAACAAUCUCAUUCAACAUUGGCUUCGGCCUUUAAUAUUUACAAAAACAGAAAAUUAACAAAAUAUAGUGUGGUAUCGGCUUUAACUAUAGUACCACGGGAUUGUCAUUUGUGGAUUUUACCAGAAACAACUUUUCUUAACAAUGGCAUUAGCCUUCACAAUUUCAAGAAUAGAAAAUCAACAUCUAUGUAGGAUUACCCUUCGUGGGAUUUACCUACUCAUAACACGGGAUUACCCUUCGUGGGAUUUAACAUCAACAACUUCUUCAAACUUCAUCUUUUUAAGACACAUACAACCGGACUUCUUAUAGAUACAUGCUACAACUAAGCUUGUUAGACUUGAUAUUAUAGGUUGUGAUGGAGCAAAAAAAAACAAAAAACAAAAAACAAAAAAUUCACGAACUCCUCAGUAAUCUUUUCCAGACAUCGCACUUCUCAAUUUGGCACAAGUCAGUGGUAGUAAUUUCAAGUUUCAAGAAGCAAUUAAGAAUAAAGUAGUCUUCAGGCAAAGAAACAUGAGCAAUUGGAUAUAUAGACCAUAUCUCCAAAUAACACAAAUCACUAGUAGAUACAUCAAUUUACCAAGAAUUAGGAUUUUGGCGCAUUAAGAGAAAGUUGACAAACUUUGGAGAUGUAGAAGUAAGCACAACAGGAUCAUGGAGAGAAAGCCAGAAUAUUCGUACCCAUCUCAUUGUCUCUUAGAGCCUAAGAAAAAUCGUCAAACACCUGGUGUGCUAAAGUACCAGGGAUAUCUACUUGCACAAUAACCCAAUUGUGGAUCCAAAGAACAAGCUUUGUGUCUUAAAAUUUCAUUAACUGUUGAUAGUUCGAUCAAGAAAUGAAAGCAAGAACGUGAAAUUAAACCAAGAAUUCAGAACGAAAUCAUACCCUAAAGUCCAAAUAUAUCACAUUGCUGAAAUCACUUCAUCUCUGAAAUCACAGGCUACGCACGGAAAAUGAAAAACCUAUACAUGAUCUUGACGUUGUUGAGUAAAAAUUGGGGUGGUGAUGUUCGAUGGUUGGGAAAAGGACAAGCAGCAGUGCGGACAAGCCUCUGUUUUAGUAGUCGGGCAGUUGAAGGCCUUAAUUGAAAAAUCUCUUGCUAUGGUCACGACCCGUCUUUGGAGCCCUUCUAAGAUGAUGUCAACAACGAUGAUUAGCCUGACCGAGACCAGUCUUAGACUCCCGUCCACUAUGAAUCAUCAUCACUGCCUUCUUAGAAAUUUCAUUUUCUUUCCUUGUAUUAGGAGGAUAAGAACUUGAUGAAAAUAUGAAAAGACCCCGAAUUCAAGAACCAACAAUUUAAGAACUGAAAAUUAAACCAGAAGGUACAUAACAAACUGAACCAUUGUGGAAGCAUUGAAGAAAUUAACGGAAUUUCUAACAAAAAUUAGAAAAGAAAUAAAGACUAGAAAGAGAUGAAACUAACGAGAAGUGGAACUAGCAGAAUCCAUGGUGUGAACGUGGCUCUGAUACCAUGUUAACUACAUAGCAAAAUAUGAAAGUUUGAUGCAGUUUACAGAAGAAGAAGAUGAUAGAGGGAGAAACAAAGGAGAGAUGUAGUAGAAAAUGAAAGCUCUUGAAUUGAUUAAUCCUUCUGAUACAAUAGUUCUAGCUAUAUAUACAAACACACUUAACAACCUCACAAACUUCUAACAAAGCUAACAACUAAAUACAUUAAAUGAUGCCAUUUGUCCAUUGCCAUCCAACAUACCGGAUAGUGACACACAUCACAAAUCAACCAUAUCUCUGAGAAAAAAAGAGAUUAAAUAUCCUAACCCCCACUCCAACUAAUACCAAGGCCAUUUGUGAUAAAACCACACACCUAAAAGAUUGUGUAUGUGAUAAUUACCAAGUUAGAGAUUAUAUUAGUGUUGUUGGAAGUGGGUCUUUAGUCCGUCUCUCUGAUAAUUCUACAUGGUAUAUUAGAAACAGGGAGCGGGCUCGUAUUGCCACGUGAUGGGUGGAUCUUAUUGGCCCCUUGCGAUGAUGGUGGGUCCUUGGUUAUGCAUGUAGGGUGAGUCCCCUUAGCUCCAGGUGGUUGUCAAUUUGUGGAUCUCCCACGUGUGACCCACUAAUUGGAUCUCAUGUGAGGAGGCGUGUUGAAAUAUCACACGUUGACUGUAUCUCUGCGAAAAGAAGAGCUUAAGUAUUUUAACCCUAGUCCAACUAAUACCAUGACUAUUUGUGAUAAAACCCCACACCUGACGGAAUGUCCAUGUGGGGGCUAAGUGGCUGACCACUGCCCCAAUUUGUCCCUAGACGUUUGAAAAUUAAUAAAGGACGCUUAGGCGUUUGCCUAAUCCGCCUAGAUCCUCCUAGGCACCUGCCUAGGUUGUGACUCUUACGUAUAGAGAAAAUCGAUAACUUUAAUUUUGCAUUUUUUUUAAUAAAAUGUAAGAGACUUGUUGAAUAAUUGGAUGAACACUCAUUAUAUGCUUGUUCCACAUAUUUUCAGAUGAACACUCAUUACAUGCUUGUUCCCCAUAUUUUCAAUGUGUUCUAAUAUUUUAUAAUAUGUAUGUCAUUUUAUUUUGCAAUUUAUGUAUCCCAAUGCAACUAUGUGUUUUUUAAGUAUAAAUAGACACUUAUUUAUACAUAUAUAAUAAAUUAUUUAAAUCCUCAUAUGCCCUAGCCUACUGCCCAACUAGCGCCUAGCGUCUUUUAAAACCUUACUUAUAAGUGAGAGGUUUUAGAUUUGAUUCUCGCUAAAGGUGAAUUUGAACUACAUAAUUAUGGCUCACCCAUUGUGAGGCUUAGCUCACUCUUUCAUCCCCUUAGUGUAGAUAAUAUCGUUUGUUAAAAUAAAACCUAUCAAACUAAUCUAAACACACAAUUAGAGGUGUGUUUUAUUUAGGGUUUUUAUCACAAAUGGUCCCUGACAUUCACUACCGCACAUCAAUUUGGUCUUUUUGUUAAAAUUUCAUCAACUAUGUGGGACCCACAAAUCCAAUGAAUUGAUGACAAGUGGAUUACAUAAAAUAAGGGUUUUUAUCGCAAAUGGUCCCUGACAUUGAGCCAACUCCUCAUUUUGGUCCUAGGUUUCAAAAAUCGAUAAAUUUGGUCCUUGAAUUUCAAUAUCGCACAUUAAUUUAAUCCUUCCGUUAAAGUUUCGUCAAUAUCUUUUGUCCCACUAACUCAAUCAUAUGACGCAACAUGGAUUAACUAUAAGAAACUGUUUUUUUUAAGAUUUAAAACUAAAAGUAAAAUAAGAAACUAAAAACCAAAACCAUAAGAAAAAAAAAGCCAUCGUCGUCUUCAUCAAAGUAUGCUAAAAAAGAAAAAGAAGGCACCAUGAUACCACUAAAGUACUUGGCCUCCUGAACUCACUCCUCAUUCUAUCUAGUUGGCUAUAAUCCUAUCAUAUUUGAAUUGAAUUUGGAUUUGAUUUUAUUGCAUUUAGAUUGAUUUUUUUUCCUUCCAAUUGGGGUUGUGGGAUGGGAGAAAAAUGUUAGCGAGGAAUACUCGUCUGUUGGUUCACUCUUAAAAAAUAUAGUUUCUUAUAGUUAAUUCACGUGGAGCCAUAUGAUUGGAUUAGUGGGAUCACAUCAGCACAUAAAUGAAAAAUAUUGAUGAAAUUUUAACGGAAUGACUAAAUUAAUGUGUGGUAGUGAAAGUCAGGGACCAAAUUUAUCGAAUUUUGAAACUCAUGAACCAACAUGAGUAGUUGGAUCAAUGUCAGGGACCAUUUGUGAUAAAAAAAACUCUUAUUUUAUGUAAUUCACGUGUUACCAUUUCAUUGGGUUUGUGGGUCUCACAUACAAACUUAUAGAAUAGUUGACAGAAUCUUAACGGAAGAACCAAAUGAUGUGGGGUAGUGAAUGUCAGGGGCGACAUUGAUUGAUUUUGAAAGUGAUGGGCCAGAAUGAUGAGUUUGAUCAAUCUCAUGACCUAUUUAUGAUAAAAAUCCUUCUAUUUAUAUGGAAACCGAUGUGUUGAAAGGAGUAUUACUGGCCUUUGUGGUACGAGUAAAUUGUCAAUAUUUUGUAGUCAUUUUAUCAACUUUGUCCAUAUUUAUGCUUAUACAAUAUACCAAGUACUGGAAUUGGAUCCUCUCUGAGGCAAACCCUCAGGAUCCUCUUGACCCAAUAACACGGAUCAUUGGAUUUUGAUCAAAUGGCUACAAUUAUUAUAACUUUUAGAGGAACCUCCCUGUUUGUAGCUGUUGGAUUGAUCCAACGGUCCGUGUUAGUGGGUCAGGAGGAUCCCAAUGGUUUGCCUCGGAGAGGAUCCAAUUCCCCAAGUGCUUUAGACUUACUUCAUUUUCACAAUAUUAUAGUUGAAAAGUGUUAUUCCCACACUUAUUGUCACCUCACACACUCUUAUUAAUUUUUUGUUAUUGAUCUUAUUUAAUUCAUUUUAUCUAACGACCAAA
This 9704-nucleotide long non-coding RNA is filed under the name Malus domestica (apple). Its description in RNAcentral is "long non-coding RNA (MDOM_LNC000832)". The record is from RNAcentral. Lineage: Eukaryota; Viridiplantae; Streptophyta; Magnoliopsida; Rosales; Rosaceae.